RNAcentral lists this ribosomal RNA (440 nucleotides) under uncultured bacterium. Its description in RNAcentral is "partial 16S ribosomal RNA". It matches the Rfam family "Bacterial small subunit ribosomal RNA", at positions 338 to 795 of the family's 1533-position model. The record is from RNAcentral.
CCUACGGGAGGCAGCAGUAGGGAAUAUUGCUCAAUGGGGGAAACUCUGAAGCAGCAACGCCGCGUGGAGGAUGAAGGUUUUCGGAUUGUAAACUCCUUUUGUUAGAGAAGAUAAUGACGGUAUCUAACGAAUAAGCACCGGCUAACUCCGUGCCAGCAGCCGCGGUAAUACGGAGGGUGCAAGCGUUACUCGGAAUCACUGGGCGUAAAGAGCGCGUAGGCGGGAUAGCAAGUCAGAUGUGAAAUCCUAUGGCUUAACCAUAGAACUGCAUUUGAAACUGGUAUUCUAGAGUAUGGGAGAGGUAGGUGGAAUUCGUGGUGUAGGGGUAAAAUCCGUAGAGAUAAAGAGGAAUACUCAUGGCGAAGGCGACCUGCUAGAACAUAACUGACGCUGAUGCGCGAAAGCGUGGGGAGCAAACAGGAUUAGAUACCCGUGUAGUC